UGCCAGCCGCCGCGGUAAUACGAACUGUGCAAACGUUAUUCGGAAUCACUGGGCUUAAAGAGUCCGUAGGCUGCUUGGUAGGUGGGGUGUGAAAUCCCCGGGCUUAACCUGGGAACUGCAUUCGAUACUGUCUGACUGGAGUAUGGGAGAGGGCAGUGGAAUUCCAUAUGUAGCGGUGAAAUGCGUAGAUAUGUGGAGGAACACCAGUGGCGAAGGCGACUGCCUGGCCCAAUACUGACGCUGAUGUGCGAAAGCGUGGGUAGCGAACAGGAUUAGAUA
This 279-nucleotide ribosomal RNA is filed under the name uncultured bacterium. RNAcentral describes it as "partial 16S ribosomal RNA". It matches the Rfam family "Bacterial small subunit ribosomal RNA", at positions 506 to 784 of the family's 1533-position model. The record is from RNAcentral.